AUGACGAUAAACAAGAGUCAAAGUCAGUCCUUAAACAAGGUAGGAAUAUAUUUGUCUAAGCAAGUGUUCCGUCAUGGACAACUAUAUGUGGCACUAUCAAGAGUGACAAGCAAGGAAGGAUUGAAGGUGCUGAUCAAUGACAACUAUAAUUCUGCAUAG
RNAcentral lists this ribosomal RNA (159 nucleotides) under Triticum aestivum (bread wheat). RNAcentral describes it as "partial small subunit ribosomal RNA". The record is from RNAcentral. Lineage: Eukaryota; Viridiplantae; Streptophyta; Magnoliopsida; Poales; Poaceae.